CCCUUAGAUGUUCUGGGCCGCACGCGCGCUACACUGACGAAUGCAACGAGCUUAUAACCUUGGCCGAAAGGUCUGGGUAAUCUCCAAAUUUCGUCGUGAUGGGGAUAGAUUAUUGCAAUUAUUAAUCUUCAACGAGGAAUGCCUAGUAAGCGCAAGUCAUCAGCUUGCGUUGAUUACGUCCCUGCCCUUUGUACACACCGCCCGUCGCUCCUACCGAUUGAAUGGUCCGGUGAAAUCUUCGGAUUGCUGACCAAAUUCCAGCAAUGGAGCUUGGUUGCGAGAAGUUGAUUAAACCUUAUUAUUUAGAGGAAGGAGAAGUCGUAACA
Molecule: ribosomal RNA, 326 nt
Filed under: uncultured eukaryote
Lineage: Eukaryota
Description: partial 18S ribosomal RNA
Rfam family: Eukaryotic small subunit ribosomal RNA
Source: RNAcentral